GCCAAUUCCAAACAGACCUGCCUGAUAUGCC
This 31-nucleotide non-coding RNA is filed under the name Homo sapiens (human). The record is from RNAcentral. Lineage: Eukaryota; Metazoa; Chordata; Mammalia; Primates; Hominidae.